Molecule: ribosomal RNA, 362 nt
Filed under: uncultured bacterium
Lineage: Bacteria
Description: bacterial SSU rRNA
Rfam family: Bacterial small subunit ribosomal RNA
Source: RNAcentral
AGAGACUGCAAGCGUUAUUCGGAUUCACUGGGCGUAAAGGGUGCGCAGGCGGCUAAGUGUGUCAGAUGUGAAAUCCCGAGGCUCAACCUCGGAACUGCGUCUGAAACUACUUGGCUAGAGUAUUGGAGAGGGUAACGGAAUUCACGGUGUAGCAGUGAAAUGCGUAGAUAUCGUGAGGAACACCAGAGGCGAAGGCGGUUACCUGGACAAUUACUGACGCUCAGGCACGAAAGCGUGGGGAGCAAAAGGGAUUAGAUACCCCUGUAGUCCACGCCCUAAACGGUGCACACUAGGUCUUGGCGGAUUCGACCCCACCAGGGCCCAAGCKRRCGCGUUAAGUGUGCCGCCUGAGGACUACGGCC